Zea mays is the source of this 3246-nucleotide RNA transcript. RefSeq lists it as uncharacterized. The record is from RefSeq and is a predicted model, not a curated record. NCBI's taxonomy places the organism in Eukaryota, Viridiplantae, Streptophyta, Magnoliopsida, Poales, Poaceae. The transcript is spliced from 9 exons.
ACGGCGGGUGGAAGGUCGUCCCUAUUGGGGCCAACAGCCAGUGUGCACAAGGGGGAACAGAGCCGUGUGGCUUCUGGUGCCCGUUGAGGAAAGGUGAGGCGAGGUGCUCACCAUGCACCUCAAGGUGGAUGACCUCACGUGGCCAUAUACGCCCUUUGUUUAAGUUCUUGCAGAUCAACUUUAUGCAGAGCUUGUGGAACCUGAGAAGCACAUGCAGAUAUUCUCUCGUAGGAAAAAUGAGGUAGUGAGAUGUUACUUGGAGAAAUGGUAUCUAAAUUUGUGUUGCUUUCUGUUUUGAGUUCUGACCUUUCAACUUGCAGAUGCUAAACAUACUAAACAAGUGUGAGAGAAAUACUACAGACAUUUACGAAUGUCACACAUUUUUUCUAAUACUGAUUCAUAUCAUAUUACAAGUAUACUCUACUUAUAUUUCCUUUAUUUUUAGCGGUGGAGUUCAAUUGUAUCUUUUUAACAAAAUAUAAGGAGUUUCAGUUCAGAUUAUGCACUUUUCAUGUUCUAUCUAUUUGCUUUGUAAACAGAUUUACCAAAAAAACUCAGAAGAUAGGCAUGAGAGCUAUAAAUAUUCUUGGAAUAAAAGGUGAGGCUGCAUGCACUUGUUUGGAUCUCAUGGUAGGAAACGAGUUGUUGCUGCUAAUUUUCCCUAAAAUAGGAAAGGUAGGGAAAUUCUUUCUGGAUAAAUUAUAUGGUAUGUCCAAUCCGUUAUUUCGCGACUACGUUGAUGAUCCGUUGUUACCGCAGUAAGGAUUCUACAAAUAGUAUGGCUCUUUUUAUCCUUGAUUGAUGCGGGGAUUUAUUAGGAACUAGGCAAGAAAGUCAGAUCUUUUAUAUAAUCUUGCUCAUUCCGAUUUUUGCCCUACAUCCUGAUUCGAUAUAUAGUGAAAUAUAUUUUGGACUUAGUUCUGGGAGUGAGGGGAUUUUUAUAAAAACGUGUAUGAGCCCAGUGAGGAGAGGCCAUGAAGGUUCUAGGAGUGAAGGGAUUAGGAUCGGGAACUGCUGCUGCAUCAGGCGCAACAAGGCAAUGAGGAGGAUGUGUUUCAGGGCAAUGGGUGUUGUAGGAGCAUUGAUAUAAGUGACGCCCUCACUGAAGUUGGUCUGACCUGCCUUGAGGUCCUCCUCACCAAGUGAAGCCUCGCCUCGGUGAAUCAGGUCACUCGCUUAAUUCUGCUCUGCCGUACUCAUAUCAUCGAAUCCCUUAAUUAUAGUCUACCAGUUAGCUACUUUACUGAAAAUCUGACUCUGCAGUGAACUAAUUAGUACUUGUUUUAGUAGUUUAUUUUGGGUUAGUUGAUAACAGUAUGAAUUGAAAUAGCACUUGUUCCAACAGUUGAUUCAGGGCCAGUUGAGGACGGUAUGAAAUGAAUUAGGCACACAGUGUGGUUUCUGUGUGUAACUCUUGCUCUUCUUUUCCUUUUCCUCCUCAAGAUGGUAGCAAUGCUAAAAUAGUUGACUUCUGGGGCUAUGCUUUCACCUUGAGAGUCUUCAGAUGAAUUUAGUGGUGCAAUUAUUAGAUGCUUCAGGGUCUUGGUUUUGCAGUUACAACCAUGCUUGGAUCAUUUUUGUUCUUUCAAACCAGGAACAGUGUUACCUAUGAUCCCAACCAGUACAGGCUUGGAUGUUAGAAGUGUAGUCAGCUCAAAUCACUCUACACAACCACCUGUUUUCUUAGCUAAAUGCGUGUGUGGUACGAGCAUAAGGUUCUUAUUUGGUUUCUCAUUUGUGGUAACGGUCAGGAACAACAACUGGUCUACGUGUUGUACAGUUGUGGUGUGUGCCUAUAGGCAGAGCUAAUGUAGAUCAAGUGUCCUACUAUAGAAAGUUUUUUAGGAAAUAUUCCCCGCACUCCAAAUUAUAAGACAUUUUGACUUUUUUAGAUGCAUUGUCUUUUCUAUGCCACCCCUCUUCCAUAAGGUAGGCAUAUCCAUCCAUCCUACAUAUUGAAUUCUAUUCAUUGCUUGGUUGAUCAUCUCACUGUCAAUGAAAUUUGAAGUAUCUCACUGUUUUGCCCCCUAAGUUCAUCCUGAUCUUUAGACCCUACUCUGAAUCUCGCAUUGCUUCUGCACCACCUACGUCAAAAUUGCUCUAACUCUGUUCAUUCACUUCAGUGUCUUUUUAACUGAAGUAAUUUGUUUGUUAAUUUGAUGAAUUACCCUGCCAACGAAAUUUGAAUCACCUCAGUGUUUAACCAUCGAAUUUAUCCUAAACUUCAGACUCUCGGAAUCUCACAUUGCUUCUAUAUUUGCCUUAAAAUUGCUCUGACACUGUUGAUUCACUUCGGUGCUAUUUUAAUAUAAGUAAUUUGUUUAUUAAUUUGAUGAAUUUUGAUUUAACUGUAAACUACAUGAUAGUGAUUUUAUCCACAUCUAACUUAUUCUCUUUAGUGUGUUUCAGGAAGAAUGCUUUACAAAUCCGAAUAUAAGUUCAGUACGAUAGUGCAAACAGAGAGCAUCAGGCUGCAUAUCUUGUCGAUUCAACAAACCAAGUUGGUCAUUUUCAGAAUGCAAGCUAAGUGUGACGCCGCCACAGAAGACCAUGCCCACUCUGUUCGUGCUAUCGGUUUGGAAAGAACAUGUGGAAAGCCAAUCUCGGAUCUUGCUUCCUUCAGGUUUCCACAUUGUAGACACACAAGAGUCCAGCCUGCGACAAACGCUCCUGCAGCCCUUAUUCUUCGUAGCGGUUUCUGCCGUCUGGCCCGGUUCUGGAAUUAUGUGGCCAUCAGCUGAUUGUCAACAGUCUCAUGAGAUUGGAGCCUAGAUCCAGUUUGCUUUGUUGGAAAACUUCAAGCACCUCUAGACGGAAGGAGAUUGGAGCCUAGAUCCAGUUUGCUUUGUUGGAAAACUUCAAGCACCACUAGACGGAAGUUGUCUGCACUGAAGAUCAGGACACGAAGAUCGCGAGCUUUAACAAGGCUCGCCUUGUGCGGAAGGUGUAUUUCAGUGAGAUCUCCAAGAUGAAGCAUUAGGGGGUCAAUCGCCCCAGAUUUUACGCGUAGCUAACUUAGUAGGGCACCCAUAAUCCAUAAUUUAUUCUCUGUAGUUGUAGCAGCGACAUAGAGGUGUCAUUCUGUAGCACAUUGUGUAACAUGUAGGAGAGAGAGAAACACAUAUCCCCAUUCUUUCUACUGAAACACCAGAAAUAGUUGCUCUUGCUCCAUAAUUCGUUAAUCUGAACUUCUGAAGCCAUGCCAAGGCCUUAUAUUGAUCCUCUGUUGUCAUAUUGAUAAAAAUA